CGCUGGCGGCGUGCCUAACACAUGCAAGUCGAACGGGAAUCUUCGGAUUCUAGUGGCGGACGGGUGAGUAACGCGUAAGAAUCUAACUUCAGGACGGGGACAACAGUUGGAAACGACUGCUAAUACCCGAUGUGCCGCAAGGUGAAACCUAAUUGGCUUGAAGAAGAGCUUGCGUCUGAUUAGCUAGUUGGUGGGGUAAAGGCCUACCAAGGCGACGAUCAGUAGCUGGUCUGAGAGGAUGAGCAGCCACACUGGGACUGAGACACGGCCCAGACUCCUACGGGAGGCAGCAGUGGGGAAUUUUCCGCAAUGGGCGAAAGCCUGACGGAGCAACGCCGCGUGAGGGAGGAAGGUCUUUGGAUUGUAAAUCUCUUUUCUCAAGGAAGAAGUUCUGACGGUACUUGAGGAAUCAGCCUCGGCUAACUCCGUGCCAGCAGCCGCGGUAAUACGGGGGAGGCAAGCGUUAUCCGGAAUUAUUGGGCGUAAAGCGUCCGCAGGUGGUCAGCCAAGUCUGCUGUCAAAUCAGGUUGCUUAACGACCUAAAGGCGGUGGAAACUGGCAGACUAGAGAGCAGUAGGGGUAGCAGGAAUUCCCAGUGUAGCGGUGAAAUGCGUAGAGAUUGGGAAGAACAUCGGUGGCGAAAGCGUGCUACUGGGCUGUAUCUGACACUCAGGGACGAAAGCUAGGGGAGCGAAAGGGAUUAGAUACCCCUGUAGUCCUAGCCGUAAACGAUGGAUACUAGGCGUGGCUUGUAUCGACCCGAGCCGUGCCGAAGCUAACGCGUUAAGUA
Molecule: ribosomal RNA, 790 nt
Filed under: uncultured cyanobacterium
Lineage: Bacteria; Bacillati; Cyanobacteriota
Description: bacterial SSU rRNA
Rfam family: Bacterial small subunit ribosomal RNA
Source: RNAcentral